CCUACGGGAGGCAGCAGUGGGGAAUAUUGCACAAUGGGGGAAACCCUGAUGCAGCGACGCCGCGUGAGUGAAGAAGUACUUCGUUAUGUAAAGCUCUAUCAGCAGGGAAGAAAAUGACGGUACCUGAGUCAGAAGCCCCGGCUAACUACGUGCCAGCAGCCGCGGUAAUACGUAGGGGGCAAGUGUUAUCCGGAUUUACUGGGUGUAAAGGGAGCGUAGACGGCAGUGCAAGUCUGGAGUGAAAGGCGGGGGCUCAACCCGCGGACUGCUCUGGAAACUGGACGGCUGGAGUGCAGGAGAGGGAAGUGGAAUUCCUAGUGUAGCGGUGAAAUGCGUAGAUAUUAGGAGGAACACCAGUGGCGAAGGCGGCUUACUGGACUGUAACUGACGUUGAGGCGCGAAAGCGUGGGGAGCAAACAGGAUUAGAUACCCGUGUAGUC
This 440-nucleotide ribosomal RNA is filed under the name uncultured bacterium. RNAcentral describes it as "partial 16S ribosomal RNA". It matches the Rfam family "Bacterial small subunit ribosomal RNA", at positions 338 to 795 of the family's 1533-position model. The record is from RNAcentral.